Molecule: ribosomal RNA, 468 nt
Filed under: uncultured bacterium
Lineage: Bacteria
Description: partial 16S ribosomal RNA
Rfam family: Bacterial small subunit ribosomal RNA
Source: RNAcentral
GACGAACGCUGGCGGCGUGCUUAACACAUGCAAGUCGAACGGAAAGGCCCUGCUUUUGUGGGGUGCUCGAGUGGCGAACGGGUGAGUAACACGUGAGUAACCUGCCCUUGACUUUGGGAUAACUUCAGGAAACUGGGGCUAAUACCGGAUAGGAGCUCCUGCUGCAUGGUGGGGGUUGGAACGUUUCGGCGGUUGGGGAUGGACUCGCGGCUUAUCAGCUUGUUGGUGGGGUAGUGGCUUACCAAGGCUUUGACGGGUAGCCGGCCUGGGAGGGUGACCGGCCACAUUGGGACUGAGGUACGGCGCAGACUCCUACGGGAGGCAGCAGUGGGGAAUAUUGCACAAUGGGCGGAAGCCUGAUGCAGCAGCGCCGCGUGCGGGAUGACGGCCUUCGGGUUGUAAACCGCUUUCGCCUGUGACGAAGCGUGAGUGACGGUAAUGGGUAAAGAAGCACCGGCUAACUACGUG